Molecule: long non-coding RNA, 924 nt
Organism: Dendroctonus ponderosae (mountain pine beetle)
Lineage: Eukaryota; Metazoa; Arthropoda; Insecta; Coleoptera; Curculionidae
Exons: 2
Source: RefSeq, a predicted model, not a curated record
AUUUAUUUUUAAAUUCCCUGUCUGUCAGCAUUGCCUAAGGAUAAAUCCUGUUCCCAACACUGUAUAGUCAGGACAUAAAAUUCAUUUAUUUCUUAUUUCCAGAAAGACCAACAUACUUUAUUUAAUAAUAUGAAAUAUAAUCUUUAAAGAUUAGAUAGAUUAGAUUAGAUAAAUUACAAACAACCUCUAUGAUUAGACAAAUUAACAAUAAAUCUCGGCUGUCCCUCUGUCUAAAGUAAAAUUAAUUGUGUGAUUGUCUAUUUGUCUAUUAUGUCAUUUAUUUCUUGUCAAUUUGUUCGCGCCAAGUAUCUUGGAGAUUAGUUCGGUUAAAAACGCAGAUCCCCGGCACUUUGACGUGACUGGUAUUCUGAACUUGUACUUUGUACUUGUCUUGUUUUAUGUGAUUUGUUAAUGGGCUGUUAGUUCAUUAUUAUUCGAAACUUUUCACACAAAGGUAAGUACCACUAAUUUAUACAUUGUAUUUAUAGUUGUACCAGCUUUUCUUGACGUGGUCUGGGAUAAAUAGUGGAACGCUUAUAGGUAACAGUGUGUGGUCUAUUCCGAACCAGGUGCCGAGACAAUAUAUGUAUGUAGGUGUUACAGUUAGGCGUACUUGAGGGCAGUACCCUGGCAGUAAUCAACCAGAACUGGCUCACACCACUUAAGCAAGAGGUACUGUGACCUCCUAUUAAGGGGAGGAAAGCGUUUAGAAAGGCUCUUACUGACGGAGUCCAAGCUCGCAGCAAUUGGAGGCCUUUUGGAAUAAAAAGAGUUUUCUUUUGAACGGGUUCGUAAGAAUAGUAGUUUUUUAUCUGUCCUCCGGUUUUUAUUAUUAUUUUUGUGGCUGGUCAGAACUACUUUCAAUUAAUUAAAGUUGUAACCAUCUUUGCUUGCUUCCUGUCAAUAAAAUACGAUUUAAGAUUC